UUGCGGGCGUGGGCGUGGGCGGCUUCCACGGUCCCGCGCGACGCCGGGCUUCCGGACGCCGCCCCCCCAGGCGUGCGGACCGCCUUGCUGCUUCGUGCUGCGGGCCCCGUGGCUGCUCCCGCGCCGCCCCGGCUGAGGAAGACGCCCAUGGCGGCUCCCGGGCCGCCCCCGCCGCUGUGGGGCCACGCCGGACACCGCCAGCGCGUGUGCGUGUCCGUGUGUGUCGUCCGCGGGGGAAAACGCGCUUUUUUCCCAAUGUCUCGGACGCUGGCUAUGUGAAGAACAGAGUGGAGGGCCACAAGGCCGCCUGCCGGUAACUCAUGUUCCUGGAGACAUGGAUUCCCAGAAGGACUUCCUCUAAAUAGCAAACAUGAUUUUGGGCUCCGUUUCACAAGUACCAGCAGAAAUGUGGCUUCAUAUGGAGUGUGGACCUCAGCUGUGGAGACGGUGAUUCGACAUCGUAAAUAAACAGGAAGCUUUUCAUUCCGAGAACUUGUAUGUAUGUGGGAAAGUGGUGAAAGGAUUGCGAGUGGAUUUGAAUGGUGUUGAACUUGACUUAGCUCCCCGUAGCACAGGUUGUGUAUGUGCGCGCAUCUACGUGUAUGUGUGCGUGCCAAGGAGGGCCUGGGGAGAACAUUCCCAGCGUGCACCUCGCGUCACGAAGGUAAGCAGAGUCUUUGAGAAGACACCAGGCUCUCAGGACGAUAGCAGCCUGAGAGUGACUGUCUCUUCGAGGCAUUCAUGAAAUGAGGAGCCAUACACAUUCUGAUAAUAUUACUUUGCAAGGCUCAGACGAGAUAUGCUCCUAGAAACAACAUUAAGAAUACUUGGUGGGGCCCGUGUUGUGGCACAGUCUGUGGUGACUGCAUCCCACGUGGGCACUGGUUCUGCUCCCAUCUGCUUGUGAUCUAGCUCCCUACCACAGCACCUCAGAAAGCAGCAGCAGAUGGCCCAGGUACUUCCCAAGCACCUGGGAGACCUGGAUGGAGCUCCUGGAUCCCGGCUUCUGCCUGGCCCAGCCCUGGCUGUUGCAGGCAUUUGGGGAAUGAAGCAGUGGAUGGAAGAUCUCUUUCUAUGUCUCUCACUUUCUCUGCCACUCUGCCUUUCACAUAAAUAAAAUAAAUCUUUAUAAAAAAUUAAAAAUAGGCCGGCGCCACGGCUCAACAGGCUAAUCGUCCGCCUUGCGGCGCCGGCACACUGGGUUCUAGUCCCGGUCAGGGCCCCGGAUUCUGUCCCGGUUGCCCCUCUUCCAGGCCAGCUCUCUGCUGUGGCCCGGGAGUGCAGUGGAGGGUGGGCCGAGUCCUUGGGCCCUGCACCCACAGGGGAGACCAGGAUAAGUACCUGGCUCCCUGCCAUCGGAUCAGCGCGGUGCUCUGGCUGCGGUGGCCAUUGGAGGGUGAACCAACGGCAAAGGAAG
Molecule: non-coding RNA, 1417 nt
Organism: Oryctolagus cuniculus (rabbit)
Lineage: Eukaryota; Metazoa; Chordata; Mammalia; Lagomorpha; Leporidae
Source: RefSeq, a predicted model, not a curated record